Molecule: ribosomal RNA, 447 nt
Filed under: uncultured bacterium
Lineage: Bacteria
Description: partial 16S ribosomal RNA
Rfam family: Bacterial small subunit ribosomal RNA
Source: RNAcentral
AGCGAACGCUGGCGGCAGGCUUAACACAUGCAAGUCGAACGCCCCGCAGGGGGAGUGGCAGACGGGUGAGUAACACGUGGGAACGUACCCUUUGGUUCGGAAUAACUUGGGGAAACUCAAGCUAAUACCGGAUAAGCCCUUAUGGGGAAAGGUUUACUGCCGAAGGAUCGGCCCGCGUCUGAUUAGCUAGUUGGUGAGGUAAUGGCUCACCAAGGCGACGAUCAGUAGCUGGGCUGAGAGGAUGAUCAGCCACACUGGUACUGAGACACGGCCCAGACUCCUACGGGAGGCAGCAGUGGGGAAUAUUGGAAAAUGGGGGCAACCCUGAUCCAGCCAUGCCGCGUGAGUGAUGAAUGCCUUAGGGUUGUAAAGCUCUUUUACCCGGGACGAUAAUGACUGUACCGGGAGAAUAAGCCCCGGCUAACUUCGUGCCAGCCGCCGCAGUAA